UUUGGCCCAGAUCGUUUACCGUGAAAAAAUUAGAGUGUUCAAAGCAGGCAGAUCCAAUUUUCUGCCACCGAAUACAUUAGCAUGGGAUAAUGGAAUAGGACCCUGUCCUCCUAUUUUCAGUUGGUUUUGGCAGCGCGAGGACUAGGGUAAUGAUUAAUAGGGAUAGUUGGGGGCAUUAAUAUUUAAUUGUCAGAGGUGAAAUUCUUGGAUUUAUGAAAGAUUAACUUCUGCGAAAGCAUCUGCCAAGGAUGUUUUCAUUAAUCAAGAACGAAAGUUAGGGGAUCGAAGACGAUCAGAUACCGUCGUAGUCUUAACCAUAAACGAUGCCGACCAGCGAUUAGGAGACGUUGAAUACAAAACACCACCAUCGGUGCGGUCGUCCUUGGCGUCGGUCUUUCGGGGCCGGCGCGGGGACGGCUUAGCCCGGUGGCACCGGUGAAUGACUCCCCUAGCAGCUUGUGAGAA
RNAcentral lists this ribosomal RNA (465 nucleotides) under Acanthamoeba genotype T4. RNAcentral describes it as "SSU rRNA". It matches the Rfam family "Eukaryotic small subunit ribosomal RNA", at positions 737 to 1096 of the family's 1831-position model. The record is from RNAcentral. Lineage: Eukaryota; Discosea; Longamoebia; Acanthamoebidae.